This 427-nucleotide ribosomal RNA is filed under the name actinobacterium SCGC AAA043-D21. RNAcentral's name for it is "bacterial SSU rRNA". It matches the Rfam family "Bacterial small subunit ribosomal RNA", at positions 348 to 787 of the family's 1533-position model. Lineage: Bacteria; Bacillati; Actinomycetota; Actinomycetes. RNAcentral also lists the same sequence under 1 other name. The record is from RNAcentral.
GCACCAGUGGGGAAUAUUGGGCAAUGGAGGGAACUCUGACCCAGCGACGCCGCGUGCGGGAUGAAGGCCUUCGGGUUGUAAACCGCUUUCAGCAAGGAAGAAGCGAAAGUGACGGUACUUGCAGAAGAAGCACCGGCUAACUAUGUGCCAGCAGCCGCGGUAAUACAUAGGGUGCAAGCGUUGUCCGGAAUUAUUGGGCGUAAAGAGCUCGUAGGUGGUUCGUCACGUCGGAUGUGAAAAUCUGGGGCUUAACCCCAGACCUGCAUUCGAUACGGGCGAGCUAGAGUGUGGUAGGGGAGACUGGAAUUCCUGGUGUAGCGGUGGAAUGCGCAGAUAUCAGGAGGAACACCAAUGGCGAAGGCAGGUCUCUGGGCCAUUACUGACACUGAGGAGCGAAAGCGUGGGGAGCGAACAGGAUUAGAUACCC